GGCAUUUGAGCAUGAUAUAAGUGAGGAUUAAGCAAAAAAAAUUUGAAAGAAAUUAAGAAAAAGAAGAGAGGAAAAAAUAGAAAGAGAGAGAAGAAGAGAGAAAAAGGCAAGUGAGGGCUGCUUGACCUAGGAUUUGAUUUUUUUUAUAUAUUAGAGUACAAAACCAAACUCUAGGUGGUGAGAUCUCUUGAGAAGAGAUUCUUGUCAUAGUCC
This 213-nucleotide long non-coding RNA is filed under the name Elaeis guineensis (African oil palm). RNAcentral describes it as "long non-coding RNA (EGUI_LNC014255)". Lineage: Eukaryota; Viridiplantae; Streptophyta; Magnoliopsida; Arecales; Arecaceae. The record is from RNAcentral.